AACGAACGCUGGCGGCAUGCCUAACACAUGCAAGUCGAACGAGACCUUCGGGUCUAGUGGCGCACGGGUGCGUAACGCGUGGGAACCUGCCCUUAGGUUCGGAAUAACUCCCCGAAAGGGGUGCUAAUACCGGAUAAUGUCUUCGGACCAAAGAUUUAUCGCCUUUGGAUGGGCCCGCGUUGGAUUAGCUAGUUGGUAGGGUAAAAGCCUACCAAGGCGACGAUCCAUAGCUGGUCUGAGAGGAUGAUCAGCCACACUGGGACUGAGACACGGCCCAGACUCCUACGGGAGGCAGCAGUGGGGAAUAUUGGACAAUGGGCGAAAGCCUGAUCCAGCAAUGCCGCGUGAGUGAUGAAGGCCUUAGGGUUGUAAAGCUCUUUUACCCGGGAUGAUAAUGACAGUACCGGGAGAAGAAGCGCCGGCUAACUCCG
Molecule: ribosomal RNA, 431 nt
Filed under: uncultured bacterium
Lineage: Bacteria
Description: partial 16S ribosomal RNA
Rfam family: Bacterial small subunit ribosomal RNA
Source: RNAcentral